GGGUGGUUAACUCAGUGGUAGAGUGCUACCUUCACACGGUAGAAGUCAUUGGUUCAAAUCCAAUACCACCUA
This 72-nucleotide transfer RNA is filed under the name Spirochaetaceae bacterium. RNAcentral describes it as "tRNA-Val". It matches the Rfam family "tRNA". Rfam says of the family: Transfer RNA (tRNA) molecules are approximately 80 nucleotides in length. Their secondary structure includes four short double-helical elements and three loops (D, anti-codon, and T loops). Lineage: Bacteria; Pseudomonadati; Spirochaetota; Spirochaetia; Spirochaetales; Spirochaetaceae. RNAcentral also lists the same sequence under 1 other name. The record is from RNAcentral.